GGGGACCCCUAUCGGGCUCGGACUAAGCCAUGCGAGUCGGCUGGGGGCCCUUGCCCCUGGCGGCGCACGGCUCAGUAAUACACGGUCAACCUGCCCUGGGGACCGGGAUAACCUCGGGAAACUGAGGCUAAUCCCGGAUAGGGGUGGAUUCCUGGAAUGGGUCCACCCCCAAAGUAGGCGGGGGAAUGGCCCCGCUGAGGCCCCAGGAUGGGACCGUGGCCCAUCAGGUAGUAGGUGGGGUAACGGCCCACCUAGCCUAAGACGGGUGCGGGCGGUGGGAGCCGGAGCCCGGAGAUGGGCACUGAGACAAGGGCCUAGGCCCUACGGGGCGCAGCAGGCGCGAAACUUCCCCAAUGCGCGCAAGCGUGAGGGAGUGAGCCCGAGUGCCGCCCGCUGAGGGCGGCUGUUCCCGGGUGUAAACAGCCCGGGGUAGGAAGGGGAGGGUAAGGCUGGUGCCAGCCGCCGCGGUAAAACCAGCUCCUCGAGGGGUCCCCACGCAUACUGGGCCUAAAGCGUCCGUAGCCGGCCCCGUAAGUCCCCGGUUAAAUCCACCGGAAGACCGGUGGGCCGCCGGGGAUACUGCGGGGCUAGGGAGCGGGAGGGGCCGAGGGUAUUCCGGGGGAUAGCGGUAAAAUGCGUAGAUCCCCGGAGGACCACCAGUGGCGAAGGCGCUCGGCUGGAACGCGUCCGACGGUGAGGGACGAAAGCUGGGGGAGCAAACCGGACUAGAUACCCGGGUAGUCCCAGCCGUAAACGAUGCCGGCUAGGUGCCGGCCGAGGUUUCGGCCUCGGCCGGUGUCGAAGCGAAGGCGUUAAGCCGGCCGCCUGAGGAGUACGGCCGCAAGGCUGAAACUUGAAGGAAUUGACGGGGGGGCACCACAAGGGGUGAAUGCCUGCGGCUC
RNAcentral lists this ribosomal RNA (902 nucleotides) under uncultured korarchaeote. RNAcentral describes it as "bacterial SSU rRNA". It matches the Rfam family "Archaeal small subunit ribosomal RNA", at positions 21 to 903 of the family's 1478-position model. The record is from RNAcentral. Lineage: Archaea; Thermoproteati; Thermoproteota.